UAACGGCGAGUGAAGCGGCAAAAGCUCAAAUUUGAAAUCUGGCUCUAUUUUGGGGUCCGAAUUGUAAUUUGAAGAAGCGACUUUGGACCUGGCUCUUGUCUAUGUUCCUUGGAACAGGACGUCACAGAGGGUGAGAAUCCCGUGCGAUGAGAAGCCCAGGUUCGUGUAAAGCGUUUUCGACGAGUCGAGUUGUUUGGGAAUGCAGCUCUAAGUGGGUGGUAGAUUCCAUCUAAAGCUAAAUAUUGGCGAGAGACCGAUAGCGAACAAGUACAGUGAUGGAAAGAUGAAAAGAACUUUGAAAAGAGAGUGAAAAAGUACGUGAAAUUGUUGAAAGGGAAGGGCUUGAGAUCAGACUUUGUUUUUCCAUGGCGCUCUUUCGGGGGUGUCCUCUGGGUCUACAGGGCCAGCAUGGGUUUUGCGUGCGAGACAAGGACUCAGGAAUGUGGCUCUGCUUCGGUGGAGUGUUAUAGCCUGGGGUACUGGUCGCCAUGCGGGACCGAGGACUGCGGUACUAGGAUGCUGGCAUAAUGAUCUUAAGCCGC
RNAcentral lists this ribosomal RNA (542 nucleotides) under uncultured eukaryote. Its description in RNAcentral is "eukaryotic LSU rRNA". It matches the Rfam family "Eukaryotic large subunit ribosomal RNA", at positions 84 to 648 of the family's 3401-position model. The record is from RNAcentral.